This is a long non-coding RNA of Bos taurus (domestic cattle), 5542 nucleotides long. The record is from Ensembl. Lineage: Eukaryota; Metazoa; Chordata; Mammalia; Artiodactyla; Bovidae.
CCAGUCACCAAAGUGAGUUUCCUCUCCUUUCAGAGAUACUGAUGUUUAUGUUCCAAAGAAAUGGCUCCCAGGUCACUGAGAAAGACAUUCUAGGUCAUAAAGCUGACCAAAAGACCUAUGUAGUUUUCAAAACGCUGAAUAUACAAUUUAAAGAGAGGAGGAAGUACUUACAAAGUUUCCUACAGUAAAUACUCCAAGAGAAAGAGAAACUUCUGCCCUUACUUUCAAUAGAGAGAAUUUAAUUCUUUUUAGUUUUUAUUUAUCCUUGGAAAUUAGAUUUUAAAAGCUUUGAGGAAAUAAGAACGUUUUCCUUAUUACAAGGAAUUUUCUUCUCUCAUAGUGACACUUCGAAAAUUAUAAGAUUCACCUUGACCACUUCACAGAACUUUGGAAUGGGCAAGAAGGCCCUAGAAGACACCAUUAUAGGGGAAAGCCAGCAUCUUAUAAGGAACUUUGAGACUGACAAAGGAGAGACACAUCUACUGAUUAUUUCAAUGAUGAUACUUUGGUGGUACUUGUUAAUAAUCUGUUUGCAGCAGGUACAGAGAGCAUGGUUUCCACUCUGUGCUGGGGGAUUCUGUUCAUGUCACGAUAUCCUGAGAUCCAGAAAAAGGUCCAUGAUGAGAUUGCCAAAGUCAUGGGGUCCACCCAGCCUUGAAUGGCACACUGAACUCAAAUGCCGUACACAGAUGCUGUCAUUCUCGAAGUGCAGAGAUUUGCUGAUAUCCUGCCCACAGGCUUACCCCGAGCAACCACCACAAAUACUAUAUUUAAAAACAACUAUAUUCCAAAGCAGGUACCAGAUGAAAAUUUGUUAGAGUAUAUGAAUACCCUGCUGCUGCUGCUGCUGCUGCUAAGUUGCUUCAGUCGUGUCCGACUCUGUGCAACCCCAUAGACAGCCUCCUACAAGGCUCCUCUGUCCCUGGGAUUCUCCAGGCAAGAACACUGGAAUACUUUUCCCUUAUAUGUUAAGCUGAAACUCCAGUACUUUGGCCACCUCAUGUGAAGAGUUGACUCAUUGGAAGAGACUCUGAUGCUGGGAGGGAUUUGGGGCAGGAGGAGAAGGGGACGACAGAGAAUGAGAUGGCUGGAUGGCAUCACUGACUCGAUGGACGUCCCCUCUCUAGUGUGCUGGGGAGUCACUGGCCAAGAUGGAGCUUUUGCUUUUCUUCAUGAGUCUCCUGCAGAAGUUCACCUUCCAGCCACCCCCUGGGGUCUCCCAUCUGGACUUGGACCCAACCCGGGAUACUGGUGUCGUCAUCCAACCAAUGCCUCACAAGAUACGUGCUCUGCCCCGAGCCAGGGUCUGCGUGCCAGCUACUGUCCCAGUUCUCUGUUAUUUUGCGGUCCUUUGCACUGACUGCACUGUUCUGCACCUUGACAGCUGUGUACUCUGCCGAGUCCUUCACUGCUUCAGCAGGCAGUCACAUCAUCCCAGAGGCCUCUGGUGUUAAGUCAGAUUGGGUUCCUCUGUUAAUCUCUGCAGCAAAAACCUCCUUACUGCCGUUCUCCAAGACAGUACACAUCAACACAACAUUUGACAAAUAGAACCUACUAGUGCCAUAAGGUUUUGCCCUUUAGUCCGAGAAACUGUCCUUUUCCUCCAAGGCAUAUGAGACAUCUAUGUAUUACUAGCUCUAAUUGCUUGGGGCAGGGCAGGGGGUGCAGUUUUAAUUGGUUGGUGCAGGGGAGGGGGGUGCUGUAUAAUGCUUUGUCUAGAAUGCUCAUGAAUAUCUUUAAAACUGCAGUGAAGAAAAUUUAACUCUUAAGCGAGGGUCCCAUUAAACAUAAGAUAUUGGCUUCAUUCAUUGGUUCAGUCAAUAUAGGAUGACUAAUAACAGAUCAUUGCUUGUGAGUAUGACCAAUUUGCUGAGGUCAGAAAAUGAGGUUCCUGCUUCUGACAUAACUGGAACUUGAAGACCACCCCCCUUCUCUAUGUUCAGUGCUCUGAGUCCCAGUAAAGUCAUACCCAAGGGACCUAUGAGCAGAAUAAAGAAAUCAUUGUCAGUUCCCGUGAGACACAAAGCAUCUUUAGCCUUUACAAAUCAAAUGGAUGUCCCUAAUAUCAAUAUAAAUGAUUCUCCCCUGCUCUUAUCUGAUUCCUAUCAAAGCCAAAAUUGCACUGGACAGGGUUAAACAGUAAAAGAAGGUUUUAUUUAAAGCUAUUGCAAUAGGAGAGAGAGGCCAGAAUUUAGUCUGAGCUCAAUUCAACUGAAACAAGGGAGGCAAAGGUUUUUAAGUGCUAACGUGAGCUAGUGGGUUUAAGGGAUUAGAUCUGAUAAACAGAGUGCCUGAAGAACUAUGGAUGGAGGUUCAUAACAUUGUACAGGAGGCAGUGAUCAAAAUCAUCCCCAAGAAAAAGGAGUGCAAAAAGGCAAAUGGUUGUCUGAGAAGGCCUUACAGGUAGCUGAGAAAAGAAGAGAAGCAAAAGGCAAAUGAGAAAAGGGAAGAUAUAUCCUUCUGAAUACAGAGUUCCAAAGAAUAGCAAGGAGAGAUAAGAAAGCCUUCCUAAGUGAUCAAUGCAAAGAAAUAGAGGAAAACAAUAGAAUGGGAAAGACUAGAGACUUCUUCAAGAAAAUUAGAGAUAGCAAGGGAAUAUUCAUGAAAAGAUGGGCACAAUAAAGGACAAAAACAUUAUGGACCUAACAGAAGCAGAAGAUAUUAAGAAGAAGUAGCAAGAAUACACAGAACUAUACAAAAAAAGAUCUUAAUGACCCAGAUAACCACAAUCGUGUGAUCACUCACCUAGAGCCAAACAUCCUGGAGUGCAAAGUCAAGUGAGCCUUAGAAGGCAUCACUAUGAACAAAGCUAGUUGAGGUGAUAGUAUUCCAGCUGAGCUAUUUCAAAUCCUAAAAGAUGAUGCUGCUAAAGUGUUGUACUCAAUAUGCCAGCAAAUUUGGAAAAAACUCAGUAGUGGCCAUGGGACUGGAAAAGGUCAGUUUGCAUUCCAAUCCCCAAAAAAGGCAAUGCCAAAGAAUGUUCAAGCUACUGCACAAUUGCACUCAUCUCACAAACUGGCCAAGUAAUGCUCAAAAUUCUCCAAGCUAGGUUUCAACAGUAUUUGAACCGUGAACUUCCAGAUGUUCAAACUGGAUUCAGAAAAGGCAGAGGAACUAGAAAUCAAAUUGCCAACAUCCGUUGGAUCUUCAAAAAAGCAAGAAAAUUCCAGAAAAACAUCUACUUCUACUUCAUUGACUAUGCUAAAGCCUUUGACUGUGUGAAUCACAACAAACUGUGGAAAAUUCUUCAAAAGAUGGGAAUACCAGACCACCUUACCUGCCUCCUGAGAAACCUGUAUGCAAAUCAAGAACCUACAGUUAGAACUGGACAUAGAACAACAGACUGGUUGCAAAUUGGAAAAGGAGUAUGUCAAAGCUGUAUAUUGUCGCUCUGCUUAUUUAACUUAUAUGCAGAGUUAUGCAAAAUGCUGGGCUGGAUGAAGCACAAGCUGGAAUCAAGACUGCCGGGAGAAAUAUCAAUAACUUCGGAUAUGGAGAUGACACCACCCUUAUGGCAGAAAGCGAAGAGGAACUAAAGAACCUCCUGAAAGUUAAAAGGGAGAGUGUAAAUGCUGGCUUAAAAUUCAACAUUCAAAAAAUUAAGACCAUGGUAUCUAGUCCCAUCACUUCAUGGCAAAUAGAUGGGGAAACAAUGGAAACAGUCACAGACUUUAUUUUCUUGGGCUCCAAAAUCACCACAGAUGGUGACUGCAGCCAUGAAAUUAAAAGACGCUUGCCCCUUGGAAGAAAAGCUAUGACCAACCUAGACAGCAUAUUAAAAAGCAGAGACAUUACUUUGUUGACAAAGGUUCAUCUAGUCAAAGCUAUGGUUUUUCCAAUAGAGUUGGGCCAUAAAGAAGGCUAACCACUAAAGAAUUGAUGCUUUUGAACUGUGGUGUUGGAGAAAACUCUUGAGAGUCCCUUGGACUUGCAAGAUCAAACCAAUUAAUCCUAAAGGAAAUCAGUCCUGAAUAUUCAUUGGAAGGACUGAUGCUGAAGCUGAAACUCCAAUACUUUGGCCACCUGAUGCGAAGAGCUGACUCAUUGGAAAAGAUCCUGAUGCUGGGAAAGAUUGAAGGCAGGGGGAGAAGGGGACGACAGAAGAUGAGAUGGUUGGAUGGCAUCACCAACUCAAUGAGCGUGAGUUUGAGCAAGAUCCAGGAGUCGGUGAUGGACAGGGAAGCCCAACAUGCUGCAAUCCAUGGGGUCUCAAAGAGUCAGAUACAACUAAGGGACUGAACUAAACUGUGAGCUAGUAGAAAAGUCCUGGAGUGCGGAGUGUGGUCAAUGUGUCCUGCACACUGAAUUAUUCUUUCAUUUGCAAAUAUUAUUCUCUGAUUCUAGAUCUGUGUUUGCUCAUUUUUACCAACAGAAGUUAGGCUCCUACUCGCCCUCAGAGCCUGGGAGAUAGGGACACUAAGUUCCUUAGAGGUUAUAUUUCCACGGGAUGUCUCCCAUGUCCUUGAGACAUCCCUGUAUUGUAAAACUGGCAAGAGAUUUUGAAAAAUAUUUACAUUUUAAAGGGGCUGAGAAAUAAUUCAUAAUUAAAAGUGUUCUCAAGUAAAUUCUCUAAGGAAAAGGGAGGUUAAGGUCUAGAGUCAGAAACUAGCCUGCUUAGGUUAAUCAAGGAGAGAAAAGUACUAAGGCCUUGGUCACCCCCAAUCCAGCAUUCUCCACAAACCCUUUUUAGAAUGAGUCAGAUGGGGGACUUUCCUGGUGGUUCAGUGGUUAAGAAUCCACCUGCCUAUGCAGGGGACACGGGUUUGAUCCCUGGUCUGGGAAGAUCCCAGGUGCUGUACGGCAACUAAGCCCUUGUACCACAACUACUGAGCCGUAUCCUAGACCCUGUGUUCCAACACGAGAGAAGUCGCCACAGUGAGGGGCCCACGCACCGCAACUGGACAGCAGCCUCCACUCACCACAACUAGAGAAAGCCUGUGUGCAGCAGCAAAGACCCAGAGCAGCCAAAAAUAAAUAAUAAUUUAAAAAGAAAGGAUGAGUCAGACUGGGGAAUACUCAGGUACCUUGGCUUCCCAGUGGAACUAAAUGAUUAAAAAAAAAAAAAAAAAUGGGGCUUGCUAAUUUUAAUUUGUUUAAGCAUAUUCAAGAGACAGCUGCAUUUUCUGACUUGCCCAUAAUACAUAAUUGGUGUUCAAUAAUAUAUAGUUAAUUCUAAAUCUAAAGUCAAAAUUAAUUCAUGGACUGCUUUCUUUUACAGAGAUCAACAGAAAUAGCUUUGAUUCAAAAUCAGGAAUUUGAGUUCUAAUUCCAAUCCUUUCAGUUCCCCAUUUUUAUGACUUUAUGACUAUAUAUUGGCAGAGGGAUACUUAGUGAAUGUGACACCAGAAGCAGAUGAUUUUUAACAUUAAUAUGAAAAAUGAUAUUCAAUAGUAAUCAUACAGUAAACAAUUUUGAUCCUUUGGUGAGUCUGAUAUAAUUAUUACAUAUGAAGAACUGUCAAGCAGCUAAUACACUUUAAUACAACUGUCUAGUUUUUAUAUUUAGUAGAAAUGUCUACAAAUAAAAACAGAAACUACUAAAU